GCAUCAAUGGGGUAGUGGUAACCUGGGUCGUUGCCAUGAGCCAGAAUGGAUACUGAGUUGUCUUCGACCCGCCGGGGGUUCGAUUCCCUCUUGAUGCA
Molecule: non-coding RNA, 98 nt
Organism: Marasmius sp. AFHP31
Lineage: Eukaryota; Fungi; Basidiomycota; Agaricomycetes; Agaricales; Marasmiaceae
Source: the annotation of a GenBank genome assembly